This 126-nucleotide ribosomal RNA is filed under the name Veillonella sp. T34266-5. Its description in RNAcentral is "partial 23S ribosomal RNA". It matches the Rfam family "Bacterial large subunit ribosomal RNA", at positions 1 to 124 of the family's 2925-position model. The record is from RNAcentral. Lineage: Bacteria; Bacillati; Bacillota; Negativicutes; Veillonellales; Veillonellaceae.
UAAGUAAAGAUUUUAAGGGCGUACGGCGGAUGCCUUGGCGAUAUCAGCCGAUGAAGGACGCGGUAAGCUGCGAUAAGCUACGGAGAGGUGCAAGCAACCUUUGACCCGUAGAUUUCCGAAUGGGGG